Long non-coding RNA from Crotalus tigris (Tiger rattlesnake), 1774 nucleotides. RefSeq lists it as uncharacterized. The transcript is spliced from 13 exons. The record is from RefSeq and is a predicted model, not a curated record. NCBI's taxonomy places the organism in Eukaryota, Metazoa, Chordata, Lepidosauria, Squamata, Viperidae.
GAGAGAAUGGGUGCCGAAGAGAGCCGGCAGGGAAUCAGACACGGAGCAGAAGGGGAGCUGACUUUGCACCAGAAGGAGACCGAAGUUAGAGAACGUCAGAAAACUUGAAGGUGGCUUACCGGCUUCCACAGCUCUCCGACUGAGAGUUGGUGCUGUUUGAACUAGAACGGUAACGAUGGCGCCUGGAUUUCUGUGGACGGCUACGAGAACUUUUGAGAGAAGAAAGCAAUGGAAUAAAUGUAAUAUAUCCUCCUCGGGAACAAAGGGCUGUGUCUCUCUCUGUGUGUGUCUGUGCGGGUGGUGUGCAGAUUAUGAGAACUGUGUAUGGGUCACUUACAACCUCAACUUGCAGCCAUUUGUUAAGCAAUCACUCCAAGUUACAAUGGCAUUGAAAAAGUGAUUUCUAACCCGUCCUCACACUUACGACCAUCCAAGCAGCCUGAGGAUCACAUGAACAAAAAUGGACAUAUCUGCUUGGGGCAUAAAAAAGGACAGCCCCGAGCAGGCUUGUGGGACUGGUGUUAAGUGGGAUGAUCGAAGAUCACUCAGGCACGGCGUAAAGAUAGACGGAGCCGGAAAGCUGGAGGUGCUAUCAGAUGCAUCAAGUCUUCCAGGCUGUUCUUCUGCCUCUCACAACCGUUGACAUUGCGGGUUUCUCCAGCUGGGUGUGAUUCUCCGGAAGGGGUGACUUCUGUUGGAAGAGGCAGGCAACUGCGGACAUCAGUGCUAAAAUAGAAAGAUGGAGAAUAACUUCUUCAGAAUAUGUUCUCAGGGCUGCAGCAACAUGAUCUUGCAAGUCUGAAGGCAAUCUGACUUAUCCUCUCCUUCUUUUCAUCUUCACGAGAGCAAGAUAAUGACUGCUGCCCGUUGACUUAGCGUGGUGGAUGCAAGAGAUACACAGCAGUCUUUCUGGACCACAGAGGCCUGGCAAAGUGUCUCCUACCAUUCUCAAGAUGCUUGCGAUGCAGUCACAAGUGAAAAAAAUCCCUGAGAUAAAUGGGAAGUGGAGUGGAAGAGAAGGAGAACGUCUUGUCACCCAGGAAAAAUUAAUCUGAAAAGAGCAUCCCGGAUCAACUCCGAUCCAGAGCAGCCCAAAAGAAGACUCACCCAGAGGCCAGUCCAAGCAAAACAGACAGCAGAAAUAAAGAGCAGCAGCAGCAGCAAUAUUUAACCGAACCAGAAGACGAUGUCAGCGGUAUUAGAGUUUUUUUCCCCAGCCCUUCCCAUCUCUAGUUCCACGUAAAGCGGGCCUUUUGCCAUUAGAGACGGUGGUGAUUUUGCAAACCCUUCUGUAAACUGCAGACAGUGGAACAUUCUAGACUUGGGAAAGUUGACAGACAAGAAAACUGAAACAUGCCAAGAAGAAUCUCAAGGAAUAUUGCAAAAGAAGACACAAGAAGACCUUUCGCUUCUCAUCCAGGAAGCUUCUUCAGUUCUGAUGGGAGGAUUUUUCUCCUCCGCCAUUCAGCCAGAAGCAUAGAAGCCUUUUCAAAAACUCACCUUUGAGAAAAACCGUGAUCUGGAUGACGGAGAAUCUCCACAGACAUUCGUAUGGCUUUGUACUGCUUUGCCUAGUUCAGAAGACUUUGCAAACCAGGUGUCUGCCGGUCAAGUCCUCCUUUCAUCUUCCGCCCGUAUGGGAUUAAACGAGUUUCGAACAAAAGGUGGGUGGAUGUGCCCUUGACCCAUCACGAAAGAAGGACUAAGGAUUUUCUGACACCCAUUUUUCCCCCCACACGGGGAUGCUGCAAGGGUGUGUAAGGAUGGAAAAAAC